UGGGAAACGUUCUCUCUGUAAAAAUAAAGUACUACGUUUAAUAUAUGCAUAUGUUCUUUAUAUAACUUUACAUAAAUAAUUAUAAUUAUGGCCAUUUAAUAUUCAGGAUAUAGAUCCCAAAAGAGCCCCAUUUUGUAUGUCAUCCUCACAACCUUUUACAUUAAAAUGUGCUUUUGCUAAAUUAUUUGAUGUGAUCUGAGAUGCUGUAUUAGAGCCUAUGUAAGCUAUCAUAAUUUUAAGCUAGGAGCUCACAUUAUGAUAUUAUGGCCCCUAUAAAGCACAUUUCUAUUUCCACUCCUUUUGUGAAACUAUAGUUUCCGCAAAAAUUGUAAAAUUACUGAAAUACAUUUAACCUACUCUUCAAAGGGUAUCUUUUGUCUGGAACAAAAACUUAGUACUAAGAUAUUGCAUUAAUUGUAAAAAUCUGAAUAGAGGUGUUCAUCCCCUCUUCAAAGGAUGUGGAAAGUUAUUCUCAGAUUUAAUUUCUUUUUUAUGAUGAAAUCUAUUUUUUUGGCUUUUAUCCAUUUAUACACUAUCAUAUGAAAACGUAGUUAUGUUCUUUGUGUAUAUAAUUAUUUUCUGUAUGGAAGCAAUCCCUUUCAUGGUACAUAUUUCAAUUAUCUGCUGAUAAAUUUCGUUUUAUUUUCACUCAAACAAAAAAGUGCCUUUAUGCAAUCUUUACAAUAAUAUUUUUAAAAGGCUUGAUUGCUGGGUGCAGUGGUGCAAUCAUGGCUCGCUGCAACCUCCGCCUCCCAGGUUCAAGCAAUUCUCCUGCCUCAGCCUCCCAAGUAGCUGGGAUUACAGGCGUGUGCCACCACAUCUGGCUCACGCCGGUAAUACCAUUUGGGAGACUGAGGCGGGCGGAUAACCUGAGGUUGUGAGUUCAAGACCAACCUGACGAACAUGGAGAAACCUCAUCUCUACUAAAAAUACAAAAUUAGCCAGGCAUGGUGGUGCAUGCUUGUAAUCCCAGCUGCUUGGGAGACUGAGGCAGGAUUAUUGCUUGAACCUGGAUGGCGGAGGUUGCGGUGAGCUGAGAUUGCACCAUUGCACUCCAGCCUGUGCAACAAGAGCGAAACUCCAU
This 1084-nucleotide long non-coding RNA is filed under the name Homo sapiens (human). RNAcentral's name for it is "HSALNT0019026". Lineage: Eukaryota; Metazoa; Chordata; Mammalia; Primates; Hominidae. The record is from RNAcentral.